UACGUAGGGCGCAAGCGUUGUCCGGAAUUAUUGGGCGUAAAGAGCUCGUAGGCGGUCUGUCGCGUCUGCUGUGAAAAUCCAGGGCUCAACCCUGGACCUGCAGUGGGUACGGGCAGACUAGAGUGCGGUAGGGGAGAUCGGAAUUCCUGGUGUAGCGGUGAAAUGCGCAGAUAUCAGGAGGAACACCGGUGGCGAAGGCGGAUCUCUGGGCCGUAACUGACGCUGAGGCACGAAAGCGUGGGGAGCAAACAGG
This 253-nucleotide ribosomal RNA is filed under the name uncultured bacterium. Its description in RNAcentral is "partial 16S ribosomal RNA". It matches the Rfam family "Bacterial small subunit ribosomal RNA", at positions 524 to 776 of the family's 1533-position model. The record is from RNAcentral.